UGCUUCGGCAUCGAACCGUCCGCGCACGCACCACGUCAGUGACGCAGCAAGACUUUCUUGCGCUAUACGGAGAWUCCUGUAUUUGCUACCUACGCUUAAAGGAACGGUGCCKCUCGCUACCCUUUCCUUCCCCGAGCAUGCGCUCGUGGGGAGGACAUCGUAGUAGCGCCUGUGCCCCUCGCAUCGAGCAUGCCGYAAGGCGCGCACGUUGYGACGGUUCUCGGGUUGCURCUUGAYGGUUCGGAUACGGAACAUUCGGUGGGCUUGGGUGUCUCGACACCUUUYGAUGUCCAAAUUCARGCGUUUUGUCGCUAGACAUGUACGACUGCCRCGCUCGCYGCGGGUCUCCCGCGYGGUGCGUGGCGUCGGCAAAGGAAUGCUACCUGGUU
RNAcentral lists this unclassified non-coding RNA (389 nucleotides) under Potentilla kleiniana. RNAcentral describes it as "partial external transcribed spacer". Lineage: Eukaryota; Viridiplantae; Streptophyta; Magnoliopsida; Rosales; Rosaceae. The record is from RNAcentral.